ACUCUCUCAGCUCUGCCCAGUUGCCCCUGACCUCAGUGGGGCAACUGACGUUUUUCGAGAGGGAAAGCGAACCGGCUUUCUGUAUGCACGGCAGUGGGGCCUGGCAAGUGGCCCCCCUGUUCCUUUGGAGAGCUAACAAGU
Molecule: small nucleolar RNA, 141 nt
Organism: Euleptes europaea (tarantolino)
Lineage: Eukaryota; Metazoa; Chordata; Lepidosauria; Squamata; Sphaerodactylidae
Product: small nucleolar RNA SNORA64/SNORA10 family
Exons: 1
Source: RefSeq, a predicted model, not a curated record